GGAGGAAAAGAAACUAACAAGGAUUCCCCUAGUAACUGCGAGUGAAGCGGGAAAAGCUCAAAUUUAAAAUCUGGCAGCUUUCAGUUGUCCGAGUUGUAGUCUAGAGAAGCGUUUUCCGCGUUGGACCGUGUACAAGUCUCUUGGAACAGAGCGUCGUAGAGGGUGAGAAUCCCGUCUUUGACACGGACUACCAAUGCUAUGUGAUGCGCUCUCAAAGAGUCGAGUUGUUUGGGAAUGCAGCUCAAAAUGGGUGGUAAAUUCCAUCUAAAGCUAAAUAUUGGCGAGAGACCGAUAGCGAACAAGUACCGUGAGGGAAAGAUGAAAAGCACUUUGGAAAGAGAGUUAAACAGUACGUGAAAUUGCUGAAAGGGAAACGCUUGAAGUCAGUCGCGUUAGUUAGAACUCAGCCAGGCUUGCCUGGUGCAUUUUCUAAUUUAACGGGCCAGCAUCAAUUUUGGCUGCGGGAUAAAGGUCAGAGAAAUGUGGCAGCUUCGGCUGUGUUAUAGUCUCUGGCUGCAUACCGUGACCGGGAUUGAGGAUCUCAGCACGCAUUUGUUGUUGCUUAGGAUGCUGGCGUAAUGGCUUUAAACGACCCGUCUUGAAACACGGACCAAGGAGUCUAACAAACCUGCGAGUAUUUGGGUGAUUAAACCCGAGUGCGCAAUGAAAGUGAAAGUUGGGAUCCCUGUCGUGGGGAGCACCGACGCCCGGACCAGACCUUUUGCGACGGCUCUGCGGUAGAGCAUGUUUGUUGGGACCCGAAAGAUGGUGAACUAUGCCUGAAUAGGGUGAAGCCAGAGGAAACUCUGGUGGAGGCUCGUAGCGAUUCUGACGUGCAAAUCGAUCGUCAAAUUUGGGUAUAGGGGCGAAAGA
This 873-nucleotide ribosomal RNA is filed under the name Raduliporus aneirinus. RNAcentral's name for it is "partial large subunit ribosomal RNA". It matches the Rfam family "Eukaryotic large subunit ribosomal RNA", at positions 52 to 930 of the family's 3401-position model. The record is from RNAcentral. Lineage: Eukaryota; Fungi; Basidiomycota; Agaricomycetes; Polyporales; Irpicaceae.